AUUGAACGCUGGCGGCAGGCUUAACACAUGCAUGUCGAGCGGAGAUGAGGUGCUUGCACCUUAUCUUAGCGGCGGACGGGUGAGUAAUGCUUAGGAAUCUGCCUAUUAGUGGGGGACAACAUUCCGAAAGGAAUGCUAAUACCGCAUACGCCCUACGGGGGAAAGCAGGGGAUCUUCGGACCUUGCGCUAAUAGAUGAGCCUAAGUCGGAUUAGCUAGUUGGUGGGGUAAAGGCCUACCAAGGCGACGAUCUGUAGCGGGUCUGAGAGGAUGAUCCGCCACACUGGGACUGAGACACGGCCCAGACUCCUACGGGAGGCAGCAGUGGGGAAUAUUGGACAAUGGGCGGAAGCCUGAUCCAGCCAUGCCGCGUGUGUGAAGAAGGCCUUUUGGUUGUAAAGCACUUUAAGCGAGGAGGAGGCUACUUAGAUUAAUACUCUAGGAUAGUGGACGUUACUCGCAGAAUAAGCACCGGCUAACUCUGUGCCAGCAGCCGCGGUAAUACAGAGGGUGCGAGCGUUAAUCGGAUUUACUGGGCGUAAAGCGUGCGUAGGCGGCUGAUUAGUCGGAUGUGAAAUCCCUGAGCUUUUUUAGGAAUUGCAUUCGAUACUGGUCAGCUAGAGUAUGGGAGAGGAUGGUAGAAUUCCAGGUGUAGCGGUGAAAUGCGUAGAGAUCUGGAGGAAUACCGAUGGCGAAGGCAGCCAUCUGGCCUAAUACUGACGCUGAGGUACGAAAGCAUGGGGAGCAAACAGGAUUAGAUACCCUGGUAGUCCAUGCCGUAAACGAUGUCUACUAGCCGUUGGGGCCUUUGAGGCUUUAGUGGCGCAGCUAACGCGAUAAGUAGACCGCCUGGGGAGUACGGUCGCAAGACUAAAACUCAAAUGAAUUGACGGGGGCCCGCACAAGCGGUGGAGCAUGUGGUUUAAUUCGAUGCAACGCGAAGAACCUUACCUGGCCUUGACAUAGUAAGAACUUUCCAGAGAUGGAUUGGUGCCUUCGGGAACUUACAUACAGGUGCUGCAUGGCUGUCGUCAGCUCGUGUCGUGAGAUGUUGGGUUAAGUCCCGCAACGAGCGCAACCCUUUUCCUUAUUUGCCAGCGAGUAAUGUCGGGAACUUUAAGGAUACUGCCAGUGACAAACUGGAGGAAGGCGGGGACGACGUCAAGUCAUCAUGGCCCUUACGGCCAGGGCUACACACGUGCUACAAUGGUCGGUACAAAGGGUUGCUACCUAGCGAUAGGAUGCUAAUCUCAAAAAGCCGAUCGUAGUCCGGAUUGGAGUCUGCAACUCGACUCCAUGAAGUCGGAAUCGCUAGUAAUCGCGGAUCAGAAUGCCGCGGUGAAUACGUUCCCGGGCCU
This 1357-nucleotide ribosomal RNA is filed under the name uncultured bacterium. RNAcentral describes it as "bacterial SSU rRNA". It matches the Rfam family "Bacterial small subunit ribosomal RNA", at positions 28 to 1381 of the family's 1533-position model. The record is from RNAcentral.